GGUGCUGCAUGGCCGUCGUCAGCUCGUGCCGUGAGGUGUUGGGUUAAGUCCCGCAACGAGCGCAACCCUUGUCACUAGUUGCCAUCAUUUGGUUGGGCACUCUAGUGAGACUGCCGGUGACAAACCGGAGGAAGGUGGGGAUGACGUCAAGUCCUCAUGGCCCUUAUGGGUAGGGCUUCACACGUCAUACAAUGGUCGGUACAGAGGGUUGCCAAGCCGCGAGGUGGAGCCAAUCCCUUAAAGCCGAUCGUAGUCCGGAUCGUAGUCUGCAACUCGACUACGUGAAGUCGGAAUCGCUAGUAAUCGCAGAUCAGCAUGCUGCGGUGAAUACGUUCCCGGGUCUU
RNAcentral lists this ribosomal RNA (344 nucleotides) under uncultured Thauera sp. Its description in RNAcentral is "bacterial SSU rRNA". It matches the Rfam family "Bacterial small subunit ribosomal RNA", at positions 1037 to 1382 of the family's 1533-position model. Lineage: Bacteria; Pseudomonadati; Pseudomonadota; Betaproteobacteria; Rhodocyclales; Zoogloeaceae. The record is from RNAcentral.